RNAcentral lists this ribosomal RNA (344 nucleotides) under uncultured bacterium. RNAcentral's name for it is "bacterial SSU rRNA". It matches the Rfam family "Bacterial small subunit ribosomal RNA", at positions 28 to 390 of the family's 1533-position model. The record is from RNAcentral.
GAUGAACGCUGGCGGCGUGCCUAAUACAUGCAAGUCGAGCGGCAGCAUAGUCUUCGGACUGAUGGCGAGCGGCGGACGGCAGAGUAACGCGUAGGAACAUACCCCAAACUGAGGGAUAACUGCUCGAAAGAGUAGCUAAUACCGCAUGUGGUCUUAGGACUAAAGCUUCGGCGGUUUGGGAAUGGCCUGCGUCUGAUUAGCUUGUUGGUGAGGUAAAAGCUCACCAAGGCGACGAUCGGUAGCUGGUCUGAGAGGAUGAUCAGCCUGACUGGAACUGAGAACGGUCCAGACUCCUACGGGAGGCAGCAGUAGGGAAUUUUCCACAAUGGCGAAGACCUGAUGGA